CUUGCUUUUCACUUUUUCUCCUGUGCACAAAUAUUCCAGUAACCACUUUGUUCCACUAACCAUAGGCAUGAAACAAAGAUAAAUGAUCUGGUAGAUAUUGCUCGAUGUGUGGAAAAUACACCUUUAGAUGAUGAUCAGUCUGUGUCCUAUUUGCUCUCUUGCCUUGAAGAUAUGAAAGUUGUGACGGAACGCAGAAAGUUGGAAGCACUUACAGUGGAAACGUUGGGAAACCGGAUAGAAAAGCUGAUAAGGUUAGUCUGCAUGGAAAACAAGUUCUUUCACGGAAGAAUGACCAUGGUGAAGAAUUUCUAAUGCAUGCUUUUCCAUGUCAUUCAGUGAAUAGCAAGAUGAAGCAUGGGUUACCAGUUGCAGCUCUUAAACUCAAGAUUUUAUCCAAUCUCGCCAACAUGAACAUGUAGCAAGCUUAAGAAUGUACCUGUACAACUUUG
Long non-coding RNA from Nicotiana attenuata, 449 nucleotides. RefSeq lists it as uncharacterized. The record is from RefSeq and is a predicted model, not a curated record. Lineage: Eukaryota; Viridiplantae; Streptophyta; Magnoliopsida; Solanales; Solanaceae. The transcript has 3 exons.